Salmo salar (Atlantic salmon) is the source of this 2257-nucleotide long non-coding RNA. RefSeq lists it as uncharacterized. Lineage: Eukaryota; Metazoa; Chordata; Actinopteri; Salmoniformes; Salmonidae. The record is from RefSeq and is a predicted model, not a curated record.
GAGAGAGAGAGAGAGAGAGAGAGAGAGAGAGAGAGUGAGAGAGAGAGCGAGAGAUUGGGGGAUUUGUAAGGCAUUUAUAUUUGCUAACUACUGGCUGAAUUUACAUUGGAACAGGUAGAAGAUCAGAUAGACAGAAUUUGUUAGCGUGUGUGAUUGUGUGAAUAUGUUUUAGUAUAUGUGUUUGUGUGUGGGGGACAGAGACAGAGACAUAGAGAGAGAGAGAGAGAGAGGGAGGGAGGGAGGAAGAGAGGGAGGGAGGAGAACCCGUUCCCCUUAGUUCCACACUAAUCUCGUUCCUAGCAAUGGCCUGGGGACGAGGUUAGUUCCACACUAACGCUUCAAUGUGUGCACUUGAGGGAAGUUAUGGAAGCUUUUUUUUCUUUCUUUUUUUCCCCCACCUAUACACUCUUCAACAUUCUGCAAUAACAUUGACGAGACAAGAAGAGAACUGAAUAACUUUCCACUAUUAUUUAGGUGACUGGGAUGUGUGAGGAGGAGAGGUGUGUGAGGAGGAGAGGAGUGUGAGGAGGAGAGGAGUGUGAGGAUGGAAGAUGCUGGGGGAGAGAGGAGCGCUGCUCUGGGCUCAGUGAGAGGUGAGAGUCUUGUUCGCAGCAGAAGAGGAAGAUGAUAAUAGAAUUCACCACAGCUGCUGGAACGACUAUUUCGGGAAACCUAACACCAUGACUCUCCACUCCUCUCCUGCUGGCACCCUAUCAACACCAGCAUGGGUGAUAACAAACUGGGCAUCCUCAUUGUAAUGAGCAGCCUUCUAUAUCUGCUGGGCUGGGAACAGCAGCCUAUAUUGUGGGGUGUAGUGGUUGCUGAUCUAAGGACAUGAGAGUGACAACUAAAGGAUGAGAACUUUCUGCUGGUGCCCUCGGUAAACAUUCAACGCUGUCGGUGAGUUUGAGCAUCUGUCCAAAACCAUCGACCGUUAAAUGUACCCUGUGGGUCACCGUUAAAGAGACACCCGGCAAGAAGAGAGACGAAUACUUUCUCUAAAUCUUCCCUGCUCCCCUGGUGAACAGAAUCUUCAGUUACUUCCCAUACUGGACUAGUUAAGAGGCCCAACUCUUAAGGCUGCAAUAAACAUUCAUUGCUGUCGGUGGGUUUACAUGAGAACGACUCACUGAUCAAUGAAUGCAGACUGCGGUACAAACACCUCAAGGCCUUUAUUUCAGCAGAGAGUGAUGGAAUAGAACGGAUGACAUGUACCGUGCCUUCAGAAAGUACUACCCCUUGAUUUAUUCCACAUUUUGUUGUGUUACAGCCCGAAUUCAAAAUGUAUUAAAUAUAUUUUUUUAUUCUCAUCCAUUUACACACAAUACCCCAUAAUGACAAAGUGAAAACAAGUUUUUAGAAAUGUUUGCACAUUUAUUGAAAAUGAAAUUCAGAAAUAUCUUUGGCAGCAAUUACAGCUGUGAGUCUUUGUAGGUAAGUCUCUAAGAGCUUUCCACACCUUGAUUGUGCAACAUCUGCCCAUUGUUCCCUUCAGAAUUCUUCAAGCUCUGUCAAAUUGGUUGUUGAUCAUUGCUAGACAACCAUUUUCAGGUCUUGCCAUAGAUUUUCAAGUAGAUUUAAGUCAAAACUGUAACUCAGACACUAAGGAGCAUUCACUGUCUUCUUGGUAAGCAACUCCAGUGUAGAUUUGGCCUUGUGUUUUAGGUUAUUGUCCUGCUGAAAGGUGAAUUCAUCUCCCAGUGGUUGGUGGAAAGCAGACUGAACCAGGUUUUCUUCUAGGAUUUUGUCUGUGCUUAGCUACUGUUUCUUUUUAAUGAAUGAUUACAAGCCACCACUAUGCUUGAAAAUAUGGAGAGUAAUACUCAGUAAUGUGUGGUAUUGGAUUUGCCACAAACAUAAAAUGUUGUAUUCAGGACAAAAAGUUAAUUGCUUUGCCACAUUUUUUGCAGUAUUACUUUAGUGCCUUGUUGCAAACAGGAUGCAUGAUUUGGAAUAGUUUUUAUUCUGUACAGGCUUCCUUCUUUUCACUCUGUCAGUUAGAUUAGUAUUGUGGAGUAAGUACAAUGUUGUUGAUCCAUCUUCAGUUUUCUACUAUCACAGCCAUUAAACUCUGUAACUGUUUUAAAGUCACCAUUUAUAGAAUAUGUUCAAAGUAAUGACCCGGGACGUUGGUUAUAAGAUGAACACUUAUUUUUAGUAAUAAUACUUGUUCACGUUGCAUUUUACCACUUUAGAUUCUACAAAAUAAUAAAAUAAAGUUUGCUAGCAAAAGCCAGAAUAAUCACUUCUCACAUAA